GGGCGGUGCGCGGGGAGCAGCCGCAGGAGCAGGAGCAGGAUCCCGCAGCAGCGCGCGCGCCAUUGUGAGGAUUUACCGAUAACAGCCCCGCUGGUCUGGGCUUGGAGAAUCUUCACUGUGAUUGGUGGAACACACCCACCAAUCAGGUAACUGCUGGGAUGGGCUUGCCCUGCUCCUACCCAGGGUAAGGCAAAGAGCCCUUGACCUGGUUGAAGCCUGCACUUUGCUUCAACCUGAUUGGUCUGUUUGCUAUCUGGGGCUGGAGCCUCUGAAAGGUAUAAAAGAAGCAGCAUGCCCAACACAUGGCAGACCCAUCAAGGGAUGGAGAAGAGAGCAGGGCAGAAGAAGAGCUGCCCAGUGGGAGGAGCCAGUGUCCAGAAAAGCCCUGAAGACUCCCCACUCCAGUCCGAUGCUCCAACCCCAGCUGGUGCACAGCAUGGCACACGGGGCCCAGACUCUGGGAGCCAUUCAAGGCAGCUCGGGUCCCAACUCCUGCCUUGAGGCCAGGCUCCCGGUGCACAAGUGGUGCACGGUGUGGACCAGGAUCCUGGGACUUGCACUGGGCAGUUCAGGUCCCCAUCCUCCUGACAAGUGGCCAGGCUUUUUCUGUGCACGGAGGGUGCAUGGUGGGUCUGAGGCCCUGGGAGCCUCUUGAGAUGGCUCGGGUCUCCAACACCUGAUAAGUGACCAGGGCUCAGUGCAGGCUUCACUGCACGGUGGGUCCACAACAAGCCAAGACCCUUGGAGCUGCUUGAGGCUGCGUGGAUCUACAGCUGCUGGCACAGUGCCAAUGGCUCUGUGCAGACGACACUGCACAGAGGGUCCGGGAGCGGACCGAGCCCCAGCACUGCAUGAGGUGGCCCAGACCUCUAACCCCUAACAAAAGGUUGAUCCCCCCAGUGCAUGUGACAGUGUCCAGGGCCCCCAGUGGGCAGCAGCCCAAGGGGAAGCCAUUAGCCCUGGAGGCCUCUCAAGUGAGGAGCAGCAGGACCAAGGGAACGCUGACCGCCCACAGGAUCCCCUCCAGAGCCAUGAGUUGCCCAGGGAAAGGAGUCUUUUCCACAGGGGAGGAAACACCCCAGCCAGGCCGUCCUGGGUGGGUUAUUUUGGGUGGCAUCCCUGCCCGGGCCCCAAGGGCAAGAGCACUGGGGGAAUCUCCCCCCUUCUACUGGUUGCUGGAGUUCAGCCAACGCACCGGGAUCAGCCUGUGGCCCUGGGGGCUUAAAGAGUUAAGUUUAAUCUAAGGCUGAUGAGUCUUAUACAUUUUGUGACAGAGCACCUUACAUUUUUUAACAUUGCGCCUUAUAGAAGUACCCAAAAUAUAUUUGUGAAUUGGUAGUUUAACAGAGUCUAUAACCCUGCCUGGGGGGAUCCGCUGGGACCCCUUGCUAUUACUUACCUUUGUUUACCUGUGACUUAUCUGAAACCCCAGUGGUGGUAACCCAUUAUAGAGAAUAAGGUUUAUAGUUGUAUAAGAAUAUAUCAGAAUGUAUCAGAAUAUAUACUUAUAUACAUACAUAUCUGUACAUAGGUUUAUAUUUAUGUUUAUCUUUUACCCACUUAUGUAAAUAAUAAUAAAUUGGUAUAUAGUUAA
Alligator mississippiensis (American alligator) is the source of this 1594-nucleotide long non-coding RNA. RefSeq lists it as uncharacterized. The record is from RefSeq and is a predicted model, not a curated record. NCBI's taxonomy places the organism in Eukaryota, Metazoa, Chordata, Crocodylia, Alligatoridae. The transcript has 2 exons.